Molecule: unclassified non-coding RNA, 192 nt
Filed under: fungal sp.
Lineage: Eukaryota; Fungi
Description: partial internal transcribed spacer region
Rfam family: Eukaryotic small subunit ribosomal RNA (bases 1-46)
Source: RNAcentral
AAGUCGUAACAAGGUAUCCGUAGGUGAACCUGCGGAUGGAUCAUUAUUGAUGAUUUGAUUAUUGUUUUGUGCAUGUAUUUUUGUGUGGUUGGCGAUCAUUCUAUGGUUGCCAACAGCGAAUUGAUGUAUCACAACUGACUGAGUCACACAUCCAAAUGAAAACAACUUUCAGCAAUGGAUCUCUUGGCUCUC